Molecule: long non-coding RNA, 366 nt
Filed under: Pan troglodytes (chimpanzee)
Lineage: Eukaryota; Metazoa; Chordata; Mammalia; Primates; Hominidae
Description: long non-coding RNA NONPTRT016792
Source: RNAcentral
CAAACACAAUGAGUCUGCAGGCUGAAAUAGGUCAGGAGCUGCCAGUUUGCAAAUUCCAAAGAAAGGACGAGGAAGUCAGUUAGGGGCAAGCCCAGAAACCGAACGACACUGACAAGCACAGAGGCAAGGGAGAGCAGAUUCACAAAAAUAACUCAUCGCUGAGGUGAACUCCCGAUGCUGAAGUCCUGAGGCUUGAUGCAGGGCAGCAGGGCGAUCUUGGAAGCUCCAUAUUGAAGAUGGUGGAGCCACAGUUUGAAAGGAGUCUGGGUUGGAGGAGAGCUACAGGCAGAUCAGGAACACCCAUAUUGGAUUUGACCUGAGUGAAAAAUAAACUGCAAUCAUUAUGUUAAAACACUUACAUAUUUG